This 253-nucleotide ribosomal RNA is filed under the name uncultured bacterium. RNAcentral describes it as "partial 16S ribosomal RNA". It matches the Rfam family "Bacterial small subunit ribosomal RNA", at positions 524 to 776 of the family's 1533-position model. The record is from RNAcentral.
UACGGAGGGGGCUAGCGUUGUUCGGAAUUACUGGGCGUAAAGAGCGCGCAGGCGGUCGAUCAAGUCGAGUGUGAAAGCCCCCGGCUCAACUGGGGAGGGUCAUUCGAUACUGAUCGACUCGAAGGCAGGAGAGGGUAGUGGAAUUCCCGGUGUAGUGGUGAAAUGCGUAGAUAUCGGGAGGAACACCUGAGGCGAAGGCGGUUCUCUGGGAAUGUCCUGACGCUGAGGAGCGAAAGUGUGGGGAGCGAACAGG